This 483-nucleotide ribosomal RNA is filed under the name uncultured bacterium. Its description in RNAcentral is "bacterial SSU rRNA". It matches the Rfam family "Bacterial small subunit ribosomal RNA", at positions 34 to 518 of the family's 1533-position model. The record is from RNAcentral.
CGCUGGCGGCGUGCUAACACAUGCAAGUCGAACGGGAACGUCUAGACUGAAGGUUCGCUGGAUGUUUAGAAACUCUAGUGGCGGACGGGUGAGUAACGCGUGGGUAACCUGCCUAUAAGACGUGAACAACAGUUAGAAAUGACUGCUAAUACACGAUAAGCACACCAGUAUCGCAUGAUACAGUGUGAAAAGAAUUUCGCUUAUAGAUGGACCCGCGUUUGAUUAGCCAGUUGGUGGGGUAACGGCCUACCAAAGCAACGAUCAAUAGCCGGCCUGAGAGGGCGACCGGCCACAUUGGGACUGAGACACGGCCCAAACUCCUACGGGAGGCAGCAGUGGGGAAUAUUGGACAAUGGGGGCAACCCUGAUCCCAGCAACGCCGCGUGAGUGAUGAAGUAUCUUGGUAUGUAAAGCUCUAUCAGUAGGAACGAAAAUGACGGUACCUAACUAAGAAGCCCCGGCUAACUACGUGCCAGCCGCCGC